RNAcentral lists this transfer RNA (71 nucleotides) under Flavobacteriales bacterium. RNAcentral's name for it is "tRNA-Gln". It matches the Rfam family "tRNA". From Rfam's summary of the family: Transfer RNA (tRNA) molecules are approximately 80 nucleotides in length. Their secondary structure includes four short double-helical elements and three loops (D, anti-codon, and T loops). Lineage: Bacteria; Pseudomonadati; Bacteroidota; Flavobacteriia; Flavobacteriales. The record is from RNAcentral. RNAcentral also lists the same sequence under 1 other name.
UGCCCGAUCGUCUAAUGGCAGGACAGCAGAUUUUGGUUCUGUUUGUGGUGGUUCGAAUCCAUCUCGGGCAA